Molecule: long non-coding RNA, 1295 nt
Organism: Alligator mississippiensis (American alligator)
Lineage: Eukaryota; Metazoa; Chordata; Crocodylia; Alligatoridae
Exons: 3
Source: RefSeq, a predicted model, not a curated record
AAAGAAAGUACCUGCAUAAUUGUGCAUAAUUUUGAGUUCUUCUGUGCAUAAUUUUGAGUUUUUAGCUGUGCAAUUAAAUCGCAAUUAAUUGUGGCUAAUUUUUUUAAUAAUGCAACUAAUCGCAAUCACAUUUUUUGAUUGUUUGACAUCCCUAAUAUAGACUUCAGAAAACUGGAACAUCAUUCCCUGAAAACUGGUUUCUAACAAAUGCCUAGAAGCAGAGGGCUAAGAUCAGGGAUAGAGAUGAUGAUUUGUUUUUGGUUUAAGGGUAAUAUACUUUCAAAAUCAGAUUAAGAGGCAAGUCUGCCUCAAACACAAAAGCUGAGGUUGUAGGGUUCUGAAUGGAUGAUUGGCUGCCUAGGCUUGUCUGACAACCCAAUACAUAGGGGAAUAUUGUUCAAUCUGGAUUAGUAAAAUUGUAUCACAGAAAACAAUUUUCAGUUAUGAUACUUCAUUCCCUCUGGUAUUGUUGUCUAUCCUGAGCCAGCCAACUAUUAACUGGGCCUGAAACUGUUUUGAAAUUAACAUUUAAUCUGUAAUGUAAUAUUCCACCUGCUUUACAGCACAAAUAAUGCUAAAUCUUAAUCUGUGUUUGUCUUCUGAUUUUUUAGUAGAAAUCCUUUUUACAGCUCAUUUCACUUGACCAUCUCAUAGAUAUGAGAUAUUUCAUUCAUAUAUAUUUGUGAUAAGUGUUAAUUCAGUACUAGUAACAGUUAUAGUUCUGUUGUUACAGUGCCUCUUUUAUGACAAUGCAGAUCUCAAUUGACUAUUGUUUUGGCUGUGACUUUCUUUGGCUUUCCUUUAUGUAUGCUUGAUUGGGAUUUAGCAUACCAAUUAAUUUCCCCAAAUGUCUGAAAACAUAGAUCUUUUCACUUGACUGAAAUAGCAGCACGCCAGUUGCUCCAACUUAUCGAGAUGUUAUUAAAGAGAGACAAAGGCUCAGAAAGGAAUUCCAGGAGGAUUAUACUGUACAGCAGAACAAGCAUAAAGAAGCAAUUGAAGAAAUAAAACAGCAAAGAAAAAAAACUGACCAGCAGUUUCAAAGACUGAUAGAGAACAAGUCCAUGCACCCCACUGAACUAAGGCUCAGCACAGAUAUGUUAAUGAAUGAAUUGGUAUGUAUUUAAAUGGAUAUAAUACUAAAUACAACCUCUCUAUUUUCCUUCUGCAAUAAAAAUGAUUUUCAGAUGAACUGGGUGUAUAAUCUAGAAUCAAGGUAUUUCAAAAGCAGGAUAUGGAUAGUUAACUGUACUCUGAGUUGAAUAUGCUUGUAAAGGGAGAAUAAAUAAUAAGCA